Molecule: ribosomal RNA, 441 nt
Filed under: uncultured bacterium
Lineage: Bacteria
Description: partial 16S ribosomal RNA
Rfam family: Bacterial small subunit ribosomal RNA
Source: RNAcentral
CCUACGGGUGGCAGCAGUGGGGGAUAUUGCACAAUGGGGGAAACCCUGAUGCAGCGACGCCGCGUGGGUGAAGAAGUAUUUCGGUAUGUAAAGCCCUAUCAGCAGGGAAGAAAGAAGACGGUACCUGACUAAGAAGCCCCGGCUAACUACGUGCCAGCAGCCGCGGUAAUACGUAGGGGGCGAGCGUUAUCCGGAUUCACUGGGUGUAAAGGGAGCGUAGACGGCCGUGCAAGCCAGGAGUGAAAGCCCGGGGCCCAACCCCGGGACUGCUCUUGGAACUGUGCGGCUGGAGUGCGGGAGGGGCAGGCGGAAUUCCUGGUGUAGCAGUGAAAUGCGUAGAUAUGAGGAGGAACACCGGCGGCGAAGGCGGCCUGCUGGACCGCGACUGACGUUGAGGCUCGAAAGCGUGGGGAGCGAACAGGAUUAGAUACCCGGGUAGUC